GCAUCUUUGUCCUCUGAGAAAAACAGUCUCCCUUCUUACGGAGGCCAGUGGAUUCCAUCCUAGAGGCUGUGUUGACCGUAUCUCCAAAUAGACAAUAACGAGGCAUCUUGAUUCCCACAACUCCAGCAGCACAGGGACCUGAAAUGAAGGACAGAAAGCAGGAAGUGGAGGCAAUAGAAAUUGCAGAGUAGAGUGAAGACAGGUGGCAUUUCUGGGAUUGGUGCCAUGACAAUGGAAGACAGAAGACAAGACAAAGGCAUAACUUUCCGUAAGCAUUUCAUGGACCAGGCGAAUGCAGCUGGAUGGGGAAGCCUGUUGCACAAGGAGGUUCCAACAAGCAGAACAAAAGCCCAGGCUAGACUAUGCGCUGUGGCAUAUUAGUCAGCCUAAACACUGCCCAUUUUUUGGAGGUGAUUUAAGGUAUGCCAUUUUGUCUAAAGUUAAUACUUCAAAUUAAUUCCUGCUGAACUUCCUGUUGUACCUUUUUUGCUGCUUCUUAAAGUUGAAUGGUAAUUUUGACUUCUCACUCCUCUAAUCCUUCUACUUCUCUUCACUUUUAGCUCAGAUUCAACCACCAAUUCACUAAAUGUGAAACUAGAGUGGACAAGAGUAGUAACAGAAACAACCAAUUCAGGCUCUGAUGACCUUGAGUUGUACAAUUAAUGGUUUCAGCCUGUUAGGUGAUGUGGUUACCUUGUAGACAUCAUGAUGAUCAACAAUGUGGUCAAAACUCUUAUAGAUGUCAUUAAGCAUGUCCACCACUUCCAUGGGGGUGCUGUAUUUGCAGAUAGUAGUGAAACCUACAAUGUCACUGAAGUAGAUUGUAACUUCCUCAUAUAGUUCCGGCUCCACAAAGCCUUUCUCCUUCAG
This 870-nucleotide long non-coding RNA is filed under the name Pan troglodytes (chimpanzee). RNAcentral describes it as "long non-coding RNA NONPTRT003379". The record is from RNAcentral. Lineage: Eukaryota; Metazoa; Chordata; Mammalia; Primates; Hominidae.